CUCUAUACAAAUUUCAAGGAUGAAAUUUAUUUUAAGGAGGGUGGAUUGUAAUAUCCCCAAAAUUUUAGGUGGUGAUUAAGAGUGGAUUACUUGUGGCCAUUAAAAGUUCUCUUACUUUUGAGACCAAGCUUUGGCUUGAAAAGAGAACUAAAUGAAAAGAAUAUAAAAGGAAAAAAAAAAAAAAAAGGGAAAGUUGACGUUAGAAAAAGGGAAUAAAAGGGGAUGGGGUUUCUAGAAACCCCCCUCAUAUUUGCUGCUUUCCCUUCUAGCCGAAAGGAAUGAAAGGGAAAUUGUCAAAAAGAAAAUUUAAGGAGGAGGAAAUUAGCUUUCUUUUCCUCUAUUUGUGAAGAUUAGAACAAGUGAGGAUCUUUCUUUUGUCUCCAUUUAAGAUAAGGAGGAGAAGGCCAAGGUGACUACGGAACAAGUUGACGAACACCCUGGGAGUUGAAUAUCAAGAAAUUGUGUUGAGUUCAACUAUGUUUGCAAAGUUAGAGACGUAGAGGAAAUACUAAUGUGGGAGUGGGAAGUUGGGGGAAAAGGCAAUGCUAUGCGUGCGAAGGAAACGUUGAGGUUUGAAUCCCACAUUCAAUUUUUUUCCUUUUUUUUUUCUCUUUUAUUUAUUAUAUAUAGCAUUUGCCUACACACUUUGUGUGUAUGAACAUUUUUUAGAAAAAUGAGAAGGAGAGAGGGAGAGUGAUAGAACGUGGGG
Non-coding RNA from Malus domestica (apple), 709 nucleotides. NCBI's taxonomy places the organism in Eukaryota, Viridiplantae, Streptophyta, Magnoliopsida, Rosales, Rosaceae. The record is from RefSeq and is a predicted model, not a curated record.